GUUCUAGUCUAGGUUUUGGUCUUUGACAUCCUCAGGAAUCCUGUUGACUUCAGCUGGAUCACUUGGCUGUUGUGGAAAGCAGAAUUUAGCAAGGCAGAAGAAAAGACACAAAAAAGCAGUUCAAGACCAUUUGGAAAAAAAUUAUAUAUCGUGUGCACUUAGAGAAAGCUACCUCCCACUCUUCUCCUCAAUUCUGAAUAGACAUCUCAGAGGAGUGUUGAGACCUAGCACCACCCAGCACGAUGUUACCAGUGCACUAAGAACACCACCCAGCAAAGGGAGUCGGUUUUGCCAGUGAAUCCCUUUAACAUGAGGCUGGUUUUGUUGCUCAACAAGAGGAGGUUGGUAUCGUGGUACUACCAGGUUUCAGACCUUGCAAUUUAUACUCACCAUUCAGUAAACUGGGCAACGAAUUCAUGGAAUAAAUUGGUGGUAUGGAAGCAGGAAGGAGAAUUUGGGUAAGUGCCAAUCCUAGGUACGACCUCUCUUCUGCAUCAGCCACACAAAGCCUCUGAAAUAGAGGGCCAUGGCUGGACAGAGGAGCUAACACCAGGCAGCAAUCACACACAAACACCUUUUCCUUGAGUGUUUCACUUAGACAGAUGCCUUGCCUUUUGCUGUAGAUCUCACCUCCUCGCCCAAGGUUCACUGCGAUGGCACAGAAAUAUCUUGAAGCUAAAAGGGCUGCGAUAUAUAUGACAGGAAGUAAUGUUAGUUAAAGGGCUACAUGUGAAUACCACAGACAUCAUCUCUGUCAAGCUUGGAUGAAAUGUUUUUGACCCUGCAUGCUCUCUCUGGAGCCUUUUGCCUGCUGGCAAAAAACUGAUUGCUGAUGAAAUGCUGGUGGGGAUGAGUAGUAGUUUUGGACUACACAGGACUUACCACCAGUCAAAAUACAAGUCUGAUGCUGGGACUACGUUAACAUGACCUGCAGCACAACUGUCUGAGUCCUCACCUGUGAAAAGAAAUGCAUCAGGAAAGCUGAGGCUGACACUACUGAGCCACUCGGGGACCCACAGUGCACCCAAACUCCAUCCUGGUGUUGCAGUACAGCUGUUGCCGUUUCUUCCAUGACAUCACCUUCCAGAGAGGAUCUUGAUACAUGGGUGAUAACAUCAGAAAGAUUGGCCAGGCCUGAUAUAAGGGUUCAUUGAAGGCUAAAGACUGGUAUUGUUAAGAAUCAGCCCCGCAGUUCUACAGGGAGCACCUGCCCAACGUGGCACGGAGUUAAACUGAAGACAUUGGGUAUUCAACAAUCAGACCAGCAGCAGCAGAAACUGAUUGCCAGGCUCUGCACCCCUGCAGAAAAACAACCUCUUCACUGCUUUAUAAAUAAAACAUUCUAUCCAACAAUGUCAUUUAAAAUAAAUAAAUAAACAAAUUAAAGGAAAAAAAAAA
Molecule: long non-coding RNA, 1398 nt
Organism: Anas platyrhynchos (mallard)
Lineage: Eukaryota; Metazoa; Chordata; Aves; Anseriformes; Anatidae
Source: RefSeq, a predicted model, not a curated record